UUCGCGAUCGCGUCGCGCAUGAGGAUAUCACCAGGUAAACUCGCGACAUUUUUAAACAUUUUGUUGUUCAACAGCAUCAAGACUGACGGAGUGUGUUUGAGAUAACCUCACAAGUGUCACAGAUGACACAUUUGGUGGGUUUUUUUUGCUGGUUUGUCGGCAGCAGCUUUGAAACGCAAGUCUGCCACACAUCUGUUCGACCAACGCCAGUUGAUCUAAACGCCAGUUGAUCUGGAACACCGGAACAAAUUGGGAAUGUUCCACGAGAGGAGGUGUUUGUACAGAGAGCUGCUUUUUCAUCCAAAGAGAAUAAAUCACUAUCAACGUUUGGAUCGAUAUCUGCAUCGAUCUGCCCACCCUUGUCUCCCGGAUCGUAGCUGAGAUCAGCGUGAACCACGUGGGUCUCUGCUCCCUGAUCUGUUUCCUGUGUUUGGAAAGAGUUCCAGCUUCAUCACGGAGUUUCUCUCGGUUUGUGGGCUCAUCUAAAGCUGAUCAGCAGGAGGAGAAGAGUCUGACGGAGCAGCAGAGGAACAUUUUCAGCCAUCUGGACUCAGCUGAGUCACUACAGAGGAAACAAUGAGCUCAACACAGAAGGACCAACAUGGAGCGAGAAGUCAGCGCUCUCAGGAGGCCGACAAACCUCACAGAAGAAAGGGAGAGAAAAAAUACAGCUGUGAUGAGUGUGGAAAGAAUUUUACUGAGAAGGCUAAUCUAAAACGUCAUCAGGUCAUCCACACUGGAGAGAGACCGUUCAGCUGUGACUUGUGUGGAAAGUCUUUUUCCUGGAAGGAUACUCUAAAAAAACACCAACUCAUCCACAGUGGAGUUAAAGCGUACAGCUGUGAUCAGUGUGGCAGAGCUUUUACUCAAAGUAGCCACUUAAAGAGUCAUCUAGUUACCCACUCUGGAAUUAAGGCAUACAGCUGUGACAUCUGUGGCAAAACUUUCAUCCGCAUAGGGAACCGAAAUACACACCUACGCAUUCACACCGGACAUGAUGUGUACUGCUGUGAUCAGUGUGACAAACAGUUUACAACAAACCAGCAGUUACAACGCCACAUGUUUACCCACAAUGAGGAGAGACCUUAUAAAUGUGACCUGUGUGAGAAGACUUUUAAAUCUCCACAUUACCUGAGACUACACCAACAGAUCCACACCAGAAAGAGACUCUACAAGUGCAGUUACUGUGAGAAGCAGAGCGACACAGAUGGAUCCAGUUCUCAACCCUGUCAUCACUGUGGGAAAGAGUUUUUUCUGUGACCUUUGUGGAAAAACUUUCAGUUGGCAAGUCUCCCUAAAAAGACAUCAACGUAGACACACUGGAGACAAACUGAAAUGCUGCAAAGAAUGUGGG
Molecule: long non-coding RNA, 1354 nt
Organism: Pelmatolapia mariae (spotted tilapia)
Lineage: Eukaryota; Metazoa; Chordata; Actinopteri; Cichliformes; Cichlidae
Exons: 4
Source: RefSeq, a predicted model, not a curated record